This 1134-nucleotide long non-coding RNA is filed under the name Glycine max (soybean). Its description in RNAcentral is "long non-coding RNA (GMAX_LNC002889)". Lineage: Eukaryota; Viridiplantae; Streptophyta; Magnoliopsida; Fabales; Fabaceae. The record is from RNAcentral.
GCACAAUUGUUUUUUGAGGCAAAAGAAAUAUAUAUAUAUAUAUAUAACUCUUUACAAUGAGUUUUUGGUGAUUCGCUUAUUUACUUAAUUUAGAAACUAAAAAUAGUUCUAAUUUCAUAAGAUAACAUAACAUAAAAAAUUAUAAGAUUAAUUUGAUGGUUAAAGAGAAGAAAAAAAUUAUGAAUUUAAAUUCCUCCUAUUAACCUUUGCCGAUAAAAAAAAAAUAAGUUAGUUAAAAAAUUAAUAACUGCACAAGUGUUUAUUGUGAAGCUUAAUUUCUUGAUCCUUGUAUAUAUAUUGAGAGCAUGUGCACAAUAAUAAAGAAAAAAAAUACAAAUACUGUAAGACUCCAUCUUAUAUUCAAAUAACAUGAAGGUGAAUGUUUUCAGAAUAGUUUUGACAAUGAUUAAUUAUGAGAAGAAAUCUCUAUAAUUAAGGCGUCAAUAUGCCCAAUUUGGCAAGUUAUAAAUUCUAAGCCCAAGGUUUUCCUGAAUACGUGUUAUGACAUACAUAUAGUGGGGUGAUUUCUUAAAAACAAGGUAACAACACAAUCACUAAUCAGAUUGCAAAUAUUAUGGAUUAGUUAAUAAACUGAACUUCUCAUUCCUCUUGAUUAAUCGUGGCAUGUUAUCCCUAUAGAAAUGUCUUUCGGGGUUUAAGGGAACUAGAACAUGCUGAAGCAAAAAAAAUUAGAAGUAAAUCUUCAAGUUUGUUGAUUAGUACGCACUUACAUAUGUAUGUGUAUUCGGUUUGCUGCUGUGCUUGAAGUGCAGUUCCCAGUCAUUGUUUGUCUUCAUGACACAACGCCACUGCCAUUAUUAGCUUAAAGUUGAGACAAACAAACACUAAUUAACUAGUAAAGAAGACAUAGGAGUAGAUGACAAAUUAAAGACUAAAGAGACUGCAAUAUGAGAUUAGUGCUUACCAUUUUUACUCUGGUUAAAUUAUAUAUGCAUCAAUGUCAAAUGUGGAAACAGAUAUAGUAUAUCAUCUAGAGAAAAGAAAUAUGAAAUCCUCAUAUAUUGCUCAAGUUAGCAGCCACAUUCAGACAAAUUAAAUGUCAUUGCGAACCAAUUUAUAACAGGUGAUCUGACAUACACUAAUUGUGUAUGAAUUUGGAAGCAAGUGGUAAUU